GGCAGUUGCUUUUGGUUCUUUCCUCUGGGACACAGAAGAGUAUGUCAACUCUUUAUUCAAGCUAAAUGAGAAUUAUUAGGGGAGAGAGAGAGAGAGAGAAGUUGUCAAGUAAAGAAAGGAUUGGCAAUCGAGUUUCACUCUCUGUACAUUUGAGUUUGAUUUCUCCUUUUAUUUCUGAGAACUCAACAGUUUGUUGUAUAGUGUACAUUUGUGCCGUAAAUAACGUACAGUCUACAAACUGUUCUGCAUAUUUCUGUUUCUACCAUGGAGAUGGAGUUUUGAUGUUAGUUUCAGGUGGUGAAUUAUUGAAUCAAAGACCAUGAUUUGUAAUCUGUAAAUUACAAAAUUGAUGUUUUGUUUUGGCAGUGUUGUUUCUUGUAUUCGUGCAAGUUCCUGAUAUAUUUUACUGGGGAUAUGGACAACUUAUGCCAGUAAAACUUUUCCUUCGAAGCAAUUGCAUGACGGCAGCUGAUUUUACUUUUGAAGUAAAGCUUAACCUGAAGGUGUGGUGUAGAACAUCUGUUUGCUUUGCGAAAUUGAAUUCCAAGCGUACAAGGGAAUAUAGCCUUUUAAGAAAUUUAUAAUCCAAGACACCUUUGGAAGAUGAUCUUUCUAAGCAAAUCAAUCUCUUGUACUUUUAAGACACCUUUGGAAUUUCGACUGCCUCGAAAAGUAUCUGUAUUUAACCCCUCUUGUAUAGAGUUUUAGAUAAGAUUUUAUGUAAGAUAAGCCAAAACUAUUAUGUUAUGACAAUCUAUU
RNAcentral lists this unclassified non-coding RNA (759 nucleotides) under Hevea brasiliensis (rubber tree). The record is from RNAcentral. Lineage: Eukaryota; Viridiplantae; Streptophyta; Magnoliopsida; Malpighiales; Euphorbiaceae.